CGACGCACCGCGGCGCGUCAGCAUGCUGUUUGCAGCCUGUCUUGACACCGCAGCGAGGAGACGAUGAUAACACAGCCGAGCAAGGUGCAAUGAGAGAGGCUGACUCGCUCACAUUUUUCCCCUCACAGCUACUUAAGCGAGUGAUGCCCGCAUCUGAGGAGUGACGCCAUGGCCGUCAAAGCUGUUCACUGCACCCUGAGCCAAAAUGGCAUCGAGCACCAGAUGUGCCCUGACGAUAUGGAAUCGCAGCUUGAUGAAGAGGAGGAGUCGGUCGAUGGCCUGCCAGUGCUGCUUGAUGACGACAGUCCAAGUUACCCCGACAUCAGCCCCACCAUAUUCCAUGGCCGUCGGCCGCCACAUCGCUCAGUCUCCGAGUCUGAGCUCACGCGGCCGGGAUAUGUCAAAUUGUCCAAACCAGUGGCUCUGUGGACCCAACAGGACGUGUGCAAAUGGCUGAAGAAACACUGUCCGAAUCAGCAUCAGAUCUACAGCGACUCCUUCAAACAACACGAUAUCACAGGGCGGGCUCUGAUGAGAUUGACUGACAGGAAACUGGAGAGAAUGGGCAUCAUGCAGGAGGCCGAGAGGCAGAACAUCCUGCAGCAGGUCCUGCAGCUACGGGUCCGGGAGGAAGUGAGGACGCUUCAACUUCUCACACAAGCGAACGCACGCGCACCAUCUUCUCCAAGUUCAAGAAACCGAGGAGGUCGGAUCGUCUGGCCAGCGUUUACCAGAGGCACAGGAGAGGACAGCCACAACCAACCGGACUGAUGAUAAUAAUCCUGCAGUCGAAGUUGAUGGGACACAUGGAACACAUGAAUUGCAAGAACCUGCCCAGGGUUGCAUGAAGGCUAACCUUUCUAAACAUGCAACUGCAUUUCUUCUCCAGGCCAGAGAAACCCAGAGACUGACACAGAGAGCUGUUAACCAGAUGGUGAGUGGAGUCCAGCAAUAUCAAACAGCAUUAUUGGAGCACCUGAGUCAUCAAAUGAAGAGCAUCUUUGAGAGUCAUUCUGGAGACCUGGAUCAACUAAAGAGUCAUGCAAUGAGGGUAUUUGACCCUUUUAGCCAGAUUGCUACAACACAUUUGCAGGACAAGACCAUCAAAGAGCUGUUACAUCCAGUUGAACCAGAAAUUGUUACUGCAAAACAAACAGUGUCUUAUGUGAAGCGUGGAGAUUCCAGAGUUCUUGCCAUAAAAAAACAUUGUUUUUACUACAUACCAUUAGUUAAAAGUUUGGAGCAGCUGCUUUCACAUCCUAAAAUUCUUGAAAUGAUCAAUGAGGGGCCAGAGUCCUGCAAGGAUGGGUUUUUUUAUGAGUUCAUUGAUGGGGACAUUUUUAAGUCACACCCUCUGUUUUUGAAAGUUCCCACAGCAUUGCAGUUAAUUUUAUAUACAGAUGAAAUUGAGCUUUGCAAUCCUCUUGGUUCUCGUGCAAACAAAAACAAAUUGUUAUUGAUUUAUUACACUUUAGGUAACAUCAACCCUAAAUACAGAUCAAGACUCGCUGCCAUUCGUCUGCUUGCCAUGGUAAAAUCUAAAGAUCUUUCCUGUAUUGAUAAAAUACUUGAGAGGAUUAACCAUGAUUUCAUCGAGCUGUAUAAUGGUGUUCGGGUUGACACUUCAAAUGGCGAGAGGACAAUUUAUGGGGCACUUUUGUCUGUGUGCGGAGACACUCUUGCUCAACAUGAAGUGGCUGGAUUUAAGGAAGGAGUUGGGUUUGCCUACAGUAAAUGUAGGCACUGUGAAUGCAACUUCAAAGAUAUUCAAAAUAAAUUUAAUGACGAUUUGUUUGUGAAAAGGACAAUGGCAAGACAUAACAGGCAAUGCAGUGACAUUGAAAAAGCAAGUACUGAUUUCCUAAGAGAACAUCUAAAAACAACAUUUGGUAUAAACAGGAGAAGUAAAUUAACAGAAUUUCCCCACUUUGAUAUCAUUAAUCAAACACCACAGGACAUCAUGCAUGUUAUUCUCGAAGGUGUUGCCGCAUAUGAAAUCAAAUGUGUUUUGAAGCAUCUUGUACUUUCCGGACAUAUGGAUUUAGACACAUUCAAUAGUGGAAUUAUUGGUUUCCCUUACUCUCCUGUAGAUAUGAGGGACAAGCCUUGUCCCAUAUCUGUUACUACACUUUCAUCAAAUGACAAUAAACUUAAACAAUCAGCGGGGCAGAUGCUGGUUAUGUUAAAGAUUCUGCCAUUUCUCAUUGACACAACUGGAGAAAAUGCUCACACACAAUUGCUACUUAAGUUGUUGGAGAUAGUUAAAAUUCUGUUUUCACCUAUUAUUGCACUCGCAACUCUUCCUAGGCUGAAGCUUUUAAUUGAGCAGCAUUUAAGACAUUUCAAACAGCUGUUUCCAGAUUUAAAUAUUAUACCUAAACAACAUUACCUGCUGCAUCUCCCUCCCAGAUUAAAGCACUUGGUCCUACUGUGAGGCAUAUGUGUAUGCGUUUUGAGUCAAAGCAAUGCUUUUUCACGCAGUGGGCUAUAAAAAGUAGUUUUAAGAAUAUUUGUAAAUCUCUUGUGAGGCACAACCAACUGUAUGAAUGUAGUCAGAAUGUGCAUGACAAACAUCCUAUUUUUUGUAAUGACAUUGAAAUAGGCCCAACAUCUGAGGUGAAAAAUGUUCACUACAUAGAAGGAAAGAUCAAACAAUUCUUAGGAAUAGAGCAAGUUGAACAUGUAGUGUGUGCCCAGUGGAUUGCUCAAUAUGGAAAUAAGCAUACAUGUGGAAAAUCUUUGGUUAUUUCUAAUAUUUUCAAUAAUACCCCAGAGUUUGCAGUUGUGAAAAACAUCUUUAUUGUAAAUGAAUCAGUGUUUUGUUUUGAAUGUCAACCUCUCUCUACAAUUGGUUGGAAUGAACAGUAUUUAUCCUAUGAGGUAGAGAUUCCUCACCUUGCACAAGCCAAUAUUUUUUUGAAUUCUGAAAACUGUGGAUUUUACACCAUACUAUUAUGUUAACUUUAAUAAUGGCAUAUUCAUUCCAGUGAAGUAUGAUCUCACCGACAUCAUGGCAUGUCACUCUUAAUAUGCAAUCCAUCUACAGGGACGGCGUGGCGCAGUGGGAGAGUGGCCGUGCGCAACCCGAGGGUCCCUGGUUCAAAUCCCACCUAGUACCAACCUCGUCACGUCCGUUGUGUCCUGAGCAAGACACUUCACCCUUGCUCCUGAUGGGUGCUGGUUAGCGCCUUGCAUGGCAGCUCCCUCCAUCAGUGUGUGAAUGUGUGUGUGAAUGGGUAAAUGUGGAAGUAGUGUCAAAGCGCUUUGAGUACCUUGAAGGUAGAAAAGCGCUAUACAAGUACAACCCAUUUAUUUAUUUAUUUACUGUUGCCAUAAUGCAUGAUGCUGCAAUUGUGACGCUUUUGACCUGCAAAUUCAAUAAAGCUGUGUUGUCUCAAUUCAA
Nerophis ophidion (straightnose pipefish) is the source of this 3403-nucleotide RNA transcript. It is a transcript of the gene named sterile alpha motif domain containing 12, with no coding region annotated. The record is from RefSeq and is a predicted model, not a curated record. The transcript is spliced from 7 exons. NCBI's taxonomy places the organism in Eukaryota, Metazoa, Chordata, Actinopteri, Syngnathiformes, Syngnathidae.